RNAcentral lists this ribosomal RNA (459 nucleotides) under uncultured bacterium. RNAcentral describes it as "partial 16S ribosomal RNA". It matches the Rfam family "Bacterial small subunit ribosomal RNA", at positions 338 to 795 of the family's 1533-position model. The record is from RNAcentral.
CCUACGGGAGGCAGCAGUGAGGAAUAUUGGUCAAUGGGCGAGCGCCUGAACCAGCCAAGUCGCGUGAGGGAUGACGGUCCUAUGGAUUGUAAACCUCUUUUGUCGGGGAGCAAAGGCCUCCACGUGUGGACUGAUGAGUGUACCCGAAGAAAAAGCAUCGGCUAACUCCGUGCGAGCCGCCGCGGUAAUACGGAGGAUGCGAGCGUUAUCCGGAUUUGUUGGGUUUAAAGGGUGCGUAGGCGGACAGUCAAGUCAGCGGUAAAAAUGCGGUGCUCAACGCCGUACAGCCGUUGAAACUGGCAGUCUUGAGUGGGCGAGAAGUAUGCGGAAUGCGUGGUGUAGCGGUGAAAUGCAUAGAUAUCACGCAGAACUCCGAUUGCGAAGGCAGCAUACCGGCGCCCUACUGACGCUGAGGCACGAAAGCGUGGGUAUCGAACAGGAUUAGAUACCCCAGUAGUC